AACGCACAUUGCGCCCGCCAGCAUUCUGGCGGGCAUGCCUGUUCGAGCGUCAUUACAACCCUCGAGCCCACCCCUUCCGGGGGGAGGGGCCCGGUGUUGGGGGACGGCCCGCCCUCGCGGCAGGCCGCCCCCGAAAUGGAUCGGCGGCAACGGCGUCCGCCUCCCCUGCGUAGUAGCACAGCAUCUCGCAACGGGAGCGCGCCGCGGCCACUGCCGUAAAACGCACAACCCUUCAAGAGUUGACCUCGGAUCAGGUAGGAAUACCCGCUGAACUUAA
Molecule: unclassified non-coding RNA, 277 nt
Filed under: uncultured fungus
Lineage: Eukaryota; Fungi
Description: partial contains 5.8S ribosomal RNA, internal transcribed spacer 2, and large subunit ribosomal RNA
Source: RNAcentral